Helianthus annuus (common sunflower) is the source of this 1548-nucleotide RNA transcript. It is a transcript of the gene named fimbrin-5-like, with no coding region annotated. The record is from RefSeq and is a predicted model, not a curated record. Lineage: Eukaryota; Viridiplantae; Streptophyta; Magnoliopsida; Asterales; Asteraceae. The transcript is spliced from 7 exons.
UUCAUCUCGAGGCGUACGCCUCGUGAGGCGAAGGGAAAACACCUCGAGAACCGAGGCGUACGCCUCGUGAGGUGAAGGUAAAAGUGUAAAACGCCUCGAGGCACGAUUCCAUACUUUUAAACCUUGGCUUCGAUUAGUGUUUUCCCCCAACUGGUCGGGUCUCAUUUAAGCUUUAUGAUUGGAAUCCGGCAUAGUUCCCUCGCAGACUCCGACAUCAAGUACCAAGUCAGAGUAGUGCUAUGCGCCUACAUGAUUUUGGGUCAUCCCGAUGGGGUUUUCAGUGGUCAAGGAGAACGUGAGACUGUUUUAGCUGAGUCAGCUGUGGUUUCGGAUCUGCAGAUUCUUAACACCGGAAGAAGUAUACUGCAAUCCCUGAAUCAAUGGUUCUUGCCUGACGUUGUAGGAAGAUAUCCAAAUUACUGAAUGUGAACAAUCAGAAUCUGAACAUGACUUCUAUGAUGCCUUUUCAAGACAUCUAAAGUAAGUUCCACUCAUCAAUUAACCUCAUAACAUAUCUUAACAUACUCAUCUUGCAGACGACAAGCCAAAAAAUUGUGGGUGUUAGUAGUUUGAUUCCUUGAAUCAAUAAGCUUUUGCUCCAAAUCUUAUAGCUUGAUUCCUUGAAACCAAAGGAAAUUGGUGAUAUUACAAAGAUAUGGGCUGGAUGGUAAAGGCAAUAGAAAACUUUGAGAGAUCGCAGGUAACGGUGAAGCCGAUGACUACAUGAUAAAAGGAAAAGGCAUAGAUGCUGACUGUUGCAGUUGACGAAAAAAGAACUAGGAAUCACCAUGAGCAUUUGGGACGUGGUACCAAUACCGAACCGGUACCGGUACUGAAUUUCCCGCACUGAAAAAAUUUUGGUACCGAUUUAGUACCUACUUUUGGCGUUUUCAGUACCGGUAUUGUUAUUAUUUCAGGAUUGGGAAGGAAUUAAACUUCUCACUUGCAAAUGUUGUUGGAGAUGAUAUUGUUUCAGGAAACAAGAAACUCAUAAUAGCUUUUUUAUGGCAAUUGAUGAGAUUUAGCAUGCUUCAACUUCUCAAAAACUUAAGAACUCAUGGUCGAGGCAAAGAGAUAACUGAUGCUGAUAUUCUACAAUGCGCCAACAUGAAAGUCAAACAGUCAGGGAAAAGACAAAUGGAUAGCUUCAAGGAUAAACGCCUGUCGGAUGGUGUUUUCUUCCUUGAGCUUCUUAGCGCGAUAAAAAGAGGGUUGUCAACUGGGGUCUUGUGACCAAAGGCGAGAGUGAGGAGGAUAAGAAGUUCAACCAAAUCGUGAAAAAGGAGGGUGUCAAAUCAUUGUUCAAGGCUGGAGGUGCUCACCUGAGAGCUAUGGCUGGUGCAGGUGUGCUUGCCGGUUGACAAUGGUCAAGAUCCAACUCUUGAUUCUCUUGUUAAGUUGACAAGCCUUUUGAUUAUUUAUGAUUUUACUGGCUUGUAGUUUACAUUUGUUUCAUGUAUUAAUCAAAUUGGCACUUUGUUUCAUGUAUUAAUCAAUGGUGACGUUUGUGACAUUAUGUAUGAUUUUAGUGCCUUUUAGUUUACAUUU